This 5257-nucleotide long non-coding RNA is filed under the name Sus scrofa (pig). RNAcentral describes it as "lncRNA (ENSSSCG00000054967.1)". The record is from RNAcentral. Lineage: Eukaryota; Metazoa; Chordata; Mammalia; Artiodactyla; Suidae.
CAUGCCUGCAGCACGUGGAAGUUCCUGGGCCAGGGACUGCACCUAUGCCACAGCAGUGACUAGAGCUGCUGCAGUGACAACACCAGAUCCUUAACCCACUGUGCCACAAGACAGCACAAGAGAACUGGGAUCUUCUAAUCAGCCUCAUUAAACUAAGAUGAAAAUGUCACCCACAGAUUCCUAGAGUGGGAGUUUUUGUUUAGGUGCAAUCCUCACUGGAUUGAGCCCAAUGAACUUAGUUGUACUUCUGAGAAAUGAAUAAAUUUGACAUCUGAGGCUAUCUAUUAGUACUGGUUCUUGUUCGUUUUGGCCAGUAUCUUUAUUGGAUGUUUAAUAGAAAGGGCUGAAAUAUAAAUAUUACUAAGUUGACUCUUCAAGGAUACAAAUUUUACUUACAAAAAAAGAUCUACACUGUAGGCAUAGAGAUUACUUAGUUGGGAAUCUAAAUAUUAGAACCACUGAUACAGAAGAAGUAUGAUGGUGGAGGAAUCCAAUAGCUGAGUCUAUGAAGUUAAGUCUAAAUCAUAAUAUGAACUGAGAAUUUAAGGCUAAUUCAUGUUGUGAACAUUUCAUAAAUUUUAUGUUACAAAGAUAUAACAAAAUAAACCAUGUUGCUGAGAAAACUUUUAAACAAAGAUCAUUUCCUCUUUCAAUUUCUGUCAGUGAAACUGUCACAUUAGUUGUACACCAACAAGAAUUUAAAAAAUUGCAGAGUCAUCCAUUGUCAUAUUUAAGACACUGUGUUCAUUUUAUAAAUUCAGAUAUUCUUAUUGAAAUUUGCUAGUUUUAUAUUAAUUUGUUUAUAUGGCUAAAUAUUUAAGUUUUAUGCAAUAUGCUUUCAAUUUUCAGGCCUAUCAGUUAAUGACAAUGAUGACAGGUCUUUAAUACAUCCUUUGGUUAAUUUAUAUAAUUUACUGAUGUUCAAUAAACAUUUUAAAGGUACGGAUGCUUUAAAUUUCAUAAAGCUUUUAUUAUAUUUUAUAUACCAUAUUUUAGACUACAUUUUGAAUGCCAAACAAAAUCUCUAUUUUUCCCCCAUGCUUUUUUGUGGCUUAUAUAUCUAAAUUCUAUAAAUAUCAUUAAUCUGGCAAAGGUUAGGGUCUGGGACUUUUUCAGAGAUUCAGCUAGUUCCAUAGGAAAGAGACGGCACAUCCAAGUUGAGUGAGUUUCAGAGAUCUUAACAAAGAGAGUUCUUGUGAAGCUACAGGCAAGGUAUAGGGUAACAUCAAAAUACAGAACAGCAUUUAGGGCAGGUACCCCUCUACACCCAAAAUGCAAGUGGGGCAUGCAAUCAAGGAAUACGGGAAGAGAAAAAGAGCCCUUGGGGUUGAGCUGCAAGGUUAAGAGUUGCAGGAAGCCCAUGAAACACAGAGCCAAGUGAUUAAAAGCUUAGUCGUCAUUCUCCUUGCCCUCUCCAGCCACCAGCUAGUGCUCCUCGUUGGCAAAUUCGAUGGUUAGCCAAAGCUGAUUCCGACUGUAGUGGUCAGCUUCCUAUCUCUUAUCACAGGUUGCAGUUACCCAGAGAGAUUAUAAAAAAAGCUAUCUGGAACAUCACAUAAAUAUUUUUCUACAUAUGAAUAUUUGCUGUUAAACACUUAAUCUAAACAUUGAGAUGUUUGAUGGGUAGACAGUUCAUCAUCCAUUUCUCCGGAUCAAUGGCCUUAAUCUGUGUUUAUUCGUCAAAAUCUCUGGAGCUACCAUUGUGACUCACCAGUAACAAACCCGACUAGUAACCAUGAGGAUGUAGGUUCGAUCUCUGGCCUAACUCAGUGAAUGAAGGGUCCCCUUGAGCUGUGGCGUAGGUUGCAGACACAGCUCAGACUCCACGUUGCUGUGGCUAUGGUGUAGGCCAGCAGCUAUAGCUCUGAUUCAACCCCUAGCCUGGGAACUUCUAUAUGCGACAGGCAUGGCCCUAAAAAGCAAAACAAACAAACGAAAAAACUCAUGUUCCAAUACAUAUCUCAGUCCAGAAUCAUUGAGUUAGACCUUCUAUGAAUCAUUGAGUUAGAUACUAGUAUUAAGUCUGUCCAUGCAGAACUCUAUUUAUGGAUACAGUAUUUUGGGCAUUUCCUUUUCCUUCUCAUUUCCUGCCUGUCACUCUUUUCCUUCCAAACAAAACAAAACAAAAAUAAAAAACCAAAAUAAAUAAAGAAAAAGAACAAUGGCUUUAUUGUAUUGUGUUUGGGCACUUGAUGGACACUGUAAGAACUACCCCCAUUUAGUUUUGUUGCAUUUACUGUAAAGAUAUUGAAGACAUUACUCACAGUUUCUUCUUUAAAUAACCCAUGUAAAAAAUGCCUUUCUUCCUCAAUUCUAGGAAUAAUUAUAUUUUUCUUCAGCUGCUAUUUUGUCAUAUAGAUCCCCUGAGUGAUAGUAAUAACUGCACACAAUUUUUUGUUAUUUUUUUGUCAUUAAGUGAAAGUUCUUAGAAUUAUAUCUUGUCCCCCCCGUAGUUAUACAUAUCUGCUAAUUUCUAAAUAUUUUUAUCACAUUAAUUCUUCUGAAAUGUAUCUUUAGUUGGUAUAAUGCAUGUGUAUUUGAAAUAUGCCUUAAAUUCAAUUCAAUUUAAUUAAUUGAAUAUAAUCAAUUGAAAUAUUAAAAAAAAUAGUAACAAGUAAAAGGGGACAGAAAUCUGCUUUCAACUCUUUUUAAGGUUGGUUUGCAUACAUUAACCUUGAAUUUUCAAGGAUGAUAUAAAUUUUUCUCUUUGUGUUUCUCUGUUUAUAUUCUAUGAUGCUCUAAUCAUAACAUUCCUGAUGUCCAUUACAUUUAUGACAGCCUCUGGCUGUUGCUGCGUGUUCCAGUUAGAAUUUACAAACCACCUUUCUAUCUAUUAUUAUUAUAUGUUAUAUAUCAACCUCCACAAAAUUUUGAAGUAAACAGGAUAGCUUGUUAUCUUGAUGGUACAGAAACGAUGUGUUAAAAUGCCUACUCAGAUUAUUACGAAAUGUUAAUUUUCUUCAUAUUUUCCUGUUACAGACAUAAAAUUUCAACUUUUCCAUUCUACAACUGUCAGCCACAUUUAAUGACAAGGUGCAGAAGUCACCCUCUAUUUUCAUGUUGUUCUGUUUUCCUUUUGGUCCUGCACAAUGUUGGCUGCAAAUAUUUUAACAUAAUGAAUUACUAAAGGAAGAGAGGCCAAGGCCCUCCUUGGUUGUACACAGAUUCAUCAUCAAAGCCUUUUCAAGGUAGGCAGAAAGCCAUGUUAAUUUAUUUCAUACAAUCUCCUACUGCCCACGGCAAGUAUUUGAAAAGAUAUUUGAUAUGUCAAAUAUUAAGCCCAACAAUUUUGGAUGAAUGUUUCUGAUUUAAAGGCCAAAUCUUUUCUAAGUUGAAGUCACUCUAACUUCAAUCUUAGAAAUAAAAUGUCAACUAGCAAAAGCGUACACAGAAUAUUUUAUUUUUAUAGUUCAGUCUGAACUAUUGAUCCCAGAGUCUUGGGGCUAAUGCACUGUGCAUUAGUAGAAGAAUAGGUAAUAAUUCAAAGAAAGGGAGUUAGUUAAUUUUCAGUGAGUUUAUUCCUUGGCAAACUGCUGAUAGUAAUUUUUGCAGGUGACCUCCUUCACGCUUGCGUUCUGCCUCUUUGUGUUAGACAAAUCCAAGUCAGCACAUGGCAUUGGUCAAAGUGACUAAAUGAGCUCUUGUUUAUGGGUAAUGAUCCAUUACAUUUAUGACAGCCUCUGGCUGUUGCUGCGUGUUCCUUUGUAGGUAUCAUUGAAUUUUGAUCACUGUUAUUUCAAUGGGACUGAUGAAUUCACCUUAUAAGAGGAAGAAGCUAAGAUGAAUCAAAUUAGAAGCACGAGAAGACAUGAGCUGUUCUGAUUAAGAUGGGAAAGUCAGGCUGAAUUAGUAAACAUGACAAGUGUAUUGAAAAAGAAAUUUUCUGUUAUGGAAGAAUGGAAUCUGUCUCUUUAUACAAAAAGAGAGUCCACUAAAUAUGUUUUAAGAAACUGCUUAAAAAUUAGAGUCAGUAGUAUUAUUAAGUAGACAUCGAUGCUCUUAAAAUUUUUGAAAAUACUUGAAACUCCUUCAGAAUUUAUAUAUCUCUUAGAUAUAUAAAUAUAAAUAAAUAUUUCUUUUUACAAGAACCCAAAAGUACACUGACUACUCAGAGUGGUCCGUGGCCCAGUGACCUCAAUCUCACCUGGGAGUUUGUUAGAAAUGCUGACUCUUGAGACUCACACUAGACUAAGGAAUUAUCCUUUUUUUCUUCCUCUUUUUUUGCCUUCUGUUUUUCAAGUUGGUAAUCCCUAGUCUCUAUCUUCAAUUUUGCUGAUUAUUUCUUCUGUCAUCUCAAAACUGCUGUUGAGAAUUUUUACUGAAUUUUUUAUGCAUUUAUCAUCUCUAGAAUUUUUAUUUGAUUGUUUUAGUUUUUAAAAAUCCUUUCUAGCUAUGGAUAUUCUCUAUUUGAUGAGUACUUGUCAUUUUACUUUCCUUUAAUUCUUUGAAAAUGAUUUCCUUUCAGUCCUUUAAAUAUAUUUGUAAUAGCUGUCUUGAAAUAUUUGGGUGCUCUCAGAUGAGUCACAAUUGUUGCCUCUUUCUUUGCCUAUAUUAUAAAUUUUUGUUGUUGAAAACUGGGCAUUGUACAUAAUUAAUUUUAACAAUUCAGGAUUUUUAACCCUCUUCCUCUUCCCCUGAAACUUAUUGUUCGUUUAUUUCUUUUAGGACUUGCCUGGACUAAUUAUGUAGAGUCUGUUUGUCGGCAGUGUACGGCCUUUGAUGUCUCUGAUAAAUAUUUCUUUUAUUCUACUUUCUAUUUUCAAGACUUUUUUUAAGGCAUUGCCCCUGCAUUGGCCUAGUUUAGUGCUCAGCAGCGAUGGGACAGAGGCUGUGCUCUAACACCUGGAGCUGUGAGUCUCCCAUGUUUUGCUGUUGGAUUUGUGUGUAGCUUUGUGUUUUAGUGACUUGUUGCUGUGUAAUAGUUUAACCACAACCUUAAGCAGCUUAAAACGACAUACAUUUAUUAUUUCAGACUCUGUGAGUCAAGAGUUUGGGCAUUUCUGGGAGUUCCCGUUGUGGCUCAGCAAAAAUGAAUCCAACUAGUAUCCAUGAAGAUGAAGGUUUGAUCCCUGGCCUCGCUCAGUGUGUUAAGGAUCUGGCAUUGCCAUGAGCUGGAGUGUAGGUCACAGAUGUGGCUCAGAUCCCGAGUUUCUAUGGCUGUGAUGUAGGCAGGCAGCUGUAGCUCUGAUUUGACCCCUAACCUGGGAACUUCCAUAUGCUGCAAGUACAGCCCUAAACAGCAAAAAAAAAAAAAAAA